AUACAGAGGGUGCAAGCGUUAAUGGGAAUUACUGGGCGUAAAGCGCACGUAGGUGGUUCAUUAAGUCAGAUGUGAAAGCCCCGGGCUCAACCUGGGAACUGCAUUUGAAACUGGUGAGCUAGAGUAUGGUAGAGGUAAGUGGAAUUCCAGGUGUAGCGGUGAAAUGCGUAGAUAUCUGGAGGAACAUCAGUGGCGAAGGCGACUUACUGGACCAAUACUGACACUGAGGUGCGAAAGCGUGGGGAGCAAACAGGAUUAGAAACCCCUGUAGUCC
This 274-nucleotide ribosomal RNA is filed under the name uncultured bacterium. RNAcentral describes it as "partial 16S ribosomal RNA". It matches the Rfam family "Bacterial small subunit ribosomal RNA", at positions 523 to 796 of the family's 1533-position model. The record is from RNAcentral.